This 492-nucleotide ribosomal RNA is filed under the name uncultured bacterium. Its description in RNAcentral is "partial 16S ribosomal RNA". It matches the Rfam family "Bacterial small subunit ribosomal RNA", at positions 29 to 507 of the family's 1533-position model. The record is from RNAcentral.
AGUGAACGCUGGCGGUAUGCCUAACACAUGCAAGUCGAACGGCAGCACAGUAAGAGCUGGCUCUUAGGGGUGGCAAGUGGGGGACGGUGGAGGAAUACAUGGAAUUCUACUUUUUCGGGGGGGAUAACAUAGGGAAAUUUACUCUAAUACCGCAUACAACCUCCGGGGAAAGGCAGGGGUUCUUCGGACCUUGCGGGAUGGAAUAAGCCGAUGUUGGCUUAGUUAGUUGGCGGGUCAAAGGCCAAACAAGGCGACGAUCGGUAGCGGGUACGACAGCAUGAUCAGACACACUGGAAGUGAGACACGGCCCAGACUCCUACGGGAGGAAGCAGUGGGGAAUAUUGGACAAUGGGGGAAAGCCGGAUACAGCCAUACCGCGUGAGUGAAGAAGGACUUAGGGUUGGAAAGUCCUUUUGUUGGGAAAGAAAAGCAGCAGGUUAAUACGCCGCGGUUCUGACGGUACCGAAAGAAUAAGCACCGGCUAACUCCGUG